Molecule: ribosomal RNA, 434 nt
Filed under: uncultured Lachnospiraceae bacterium
Lineage: Bacteria; Bacillati; Bacillota; Clostridia; Lachnospirales; Lachnospiraceae
Description: partial 16S ribosomal RNA
Rfam family: Bacterial small subunit ribosomal RNA
Source: RNAcentral
ACGGGAGGCAGCAGUGGGGAAUAUUGGACAAUGGGGGAAACCCUGAUCCGGCGACGCCGCGUGAGUGAAGAAGUAUUUCGGUAUGUAAAGCUCUAUCAGCAGGGAAGAUAAUGACGGUACCUGACUAAGAAGCCCCGGCUAACUACGUGCCAGCAGCCGCGGUAAUACGCAGGGGGCAAGCGUUAUCCGGAUUUACUGGGUGUAAAGGGAGCGUAGACGGAAGGCCAAGUCUGAUGUGAAAACCCAGGGCUCAACCCUGGGACUGCAUUGGAAACUGGUCAUCUAGAGUGCAGGAGGGGUAAGCGGAAUUCCUAGUGUAGCGGUGAAAUGCGUAGAUAUUAGGAGGAACACCAGUGGCGAAGGCGGCUUACUGGACUGUAACUGACGUUGAGGCUCGAAAGCGUGGGGAGCAAACAGGAUUAGAUACCCUGGUA